Molecule: ribosomal RNA, 497 nt
Filed under: uncultured bacterium
Lineage: Bacteria
Description: partial 16S ribosomal RNA
Rfam family: Bacterial small subunit ribosomal RNA
Source: RNAcentral
GAUGAACGCUGGCGGCGUGCCUAAUACAUGCAAGUCGAGCGAACAGACGAGGAGCUUGCUCCUCUGACGUUAGCGGCGGACGGGUGAGUAACACGUGGAUAACCUACCUAUAAGACUGGGAUAACUUCGGGAAACCGGAGCUAAUACCGGAUAACAUGUUGAACCGCAUGGUUUAACAGUGAAAGACGGUCUUGCUGUCACUUAUAGAUGGAUCCGCGCCGCAUUAGCUAGUUGGUAAGGUAACGGCUUACCAAGGCAACGAUGCGUAGCCGACCUGAGAGGGUGAUCGGCCACACUGGAAGUGAGACGCGGUCCAGACUCCUACGGGAGGCAGCAGUAGGGAAUCUGCCGCAAUGGGCGAAAGCCUGACGGAGCAACGCCGCGUGAGUGAAGAAGGUCUUCGGAUCGUAAAACUCUGUUAUUAGGGAAGAACAAAUGUGUAAGUAACUAUGCACGGCUUGACGGUACCUAAUCAGAAAGCCACGGCUAACUACGUG